RNAcentral lists this small nuclear RNA (162 nucleotides) under Mus pahari (shrew mouse). Its description in RNAcentral is "predicted gene, 23435 (MGP_PahariEiJ_G0033450.1)". The record is from RNAcentral. Lineage: Eukaryota; Metazoa; Chordata; Mammalia; Rodentia; Muridae.
AUCUUCAAUUUUUAUAGAUGGUUUAAGAUUCAUAAAAGUUUGUUUUCCCAGGGUGAGGCUUAUCCAUCCAUUGUACUCUGCAUGUGCUGACCCCUGUCAUUUCCCCAAAUGUAGGAAACUCAACUGUGUAAUGUGAGGUAGUGGAGGACUUCAUGUUCUCCC